CAACAUUCAUUAUAAGUAGAAGAAGAACUACUGUUGUUAGCCAGCUAUGCUAACAUCCAACAGAACAUGAUGCUACUCGGCUAAAUGCUUUCGGAUCAAGUCUUCUACUACACACGUGGUUUUGUUUCGUUUAUAACAAUUGUCGGCAGAAGUAAAGCAAGUCGCCAUCUUCCGUAUUCGGUCUUCGCUGCGUUCUCGGAGAAGUUAGCUUCACUAAAGCGUUUGAAUGGAAAUGUCUACAAUCCAGAGUUUAAGACAGUUUAUCAACGAGAGGUUACAAACUGCUGCUGAAGACAUAUUAGGAUGUUUUGAAGCGACUGUCGCAAAGUACGAGGAUGAGAUCGGUCGUCAGCGCAGACUGCUGGAUGUAACUUUGAAACCUGUAGUAAAGCUGCAGAGAAUAGAGCUCCCACAGCGACAUGUCUGUAUCAAGGAAGAGAUUCCUGCUGACCUGCUGGAGAGGAACCCCAGUCCAGACCAAGAGGAGCCAGAACCUCCACAGAUUAAGGAGCAACAGGAGGAGCACUGCAUCGAGCUCCCAGAGCAACACUUUCUGAAUGAGGAAGAGUUUCCAUCUGAUCAGCAGCUCUGGAGCCUUGAGAGGAACCCCAGUCUGGACCAAGAGGAGCCAGAACCUCCACAUAUUAAAGAGGAGGAGGAGAUUUGCAUCAGUCUGGAAGUAGAGCAGCUUGUACUGAAGCAGGAGGAUCAAGAUAACCUUUUGUUGAAUCCUACUUUCAAGGAAAGUGACCACAGUCAACCAGAACCAAGUGACCACCAGCUCCUCUCCCACAGCUCAGCUCAGAGCCAAGAUCUCAAAGGAGGCCAGCAUGGAAACUCAACAUCAGUUAGUAAUGCAGAGCAGGCAUCAGAAAAGGGACAUCAUGUCAUCACAAGAGAAAAAGAAAGCACAAGUCCCAGUAACCUUGCAUGUAGCACUACCAUGUCAAAGAUUGUGCCGAAUAUCUGCAAGAGCAAAAAGGUUUUCCAGUGUGACACUUGUGGAAAAGUCUUUAAGUGGAAGUCACGAUUAAAUGGACAUCUGAAGGUGCACACAGAUGACAAACCAUAUCUUUGCAAAACCUGUGGAAAAAGAUUUUGUUACAAGUCAAAACUAAAAACACAUUUGAGAGUCCACACAGGGGAGAAACUGCAUUCUUGCGAAAUUUGUGAAAAAAGUUUCACAAGUAGCACAUAUUUGAAGAUCCACGAGAGAACACACACGGGCCAGAGACCUUUUUCUUGCAAAACUUGUGGGAUAAGUUUUAGUGCGAGAAAUACCCUGAAGAGACACGAGAGAACGCACACGGACGAGAAACCCUUUUCUUGCAAAACUUGUGGGAAAAGUUAUACACGUGGAUGUAAGUUGAAAGUCCACAUGAGAAGCCAUAAAGGUGAGGAGCCGCAUCCCUGUACAACUUGUGGGGAAAGAUUUGUUAGCAAAUCACUUUUAACAAAACAUUUGAGUACCCACACAAAGCAAAACUGAUAUUUUUGUAAAAUGUUGGAAAGAUCUCUGACUUGCCAGUUUAUACAAAGUCCACAGGAGAAUACAUCCAGUUGAGAAGCCACACCAUGGCCACACGAGAGGGAUACGAUUUGCUCAAGCGUUGUCAAAUAAGUUGUUACUUAGUUAUUUAUUCAUUAAUUAGUGAUACAACAGUUAGCGAAAGCGACACCGGAAAUGUUUCCAGGGGACCAAAAAAGUGAUGAACCUAGUUGUAGUUCAAUGCUUUAUGAAGUUCCAUCACCACUGAUGAGGAGCAGACUUCAAUAACUUCACAAAGCAUUGAACUACAGCCAGGUUCAUCACUUACAUCUACACAAGAGAGAUUGUCUACAUUUGCAUUUGCUGCAUCUCUGUAACUGAAUGUGGAAAAUAUCCCAUUGAGGAGACAUCACAAUAUCUUUGAUGCAGUACAUGGUCAACAACAUUUGCUGAAGUACCCACGUUUCUGUUCUUCAUGUGACUCAUUGAUAUUUACAAAUGCAAAGGAAGUGAUGUUUUCACCCAUGUCUCUUUGUUUAUUCAUUUAUCAGCAAUUUAUACCAAAUGGUGCAGGAAGGGGACGGGGGUGAGAGAAAUUGAUUGGGUUAAAGUGGCAGAUCCAGGAUAUUUUAUUAUCACUGAAUGUUGAGAGAUUGUUGUCAAUGUUUCUGGAAAGACUGUGGAUCAAAGUGUAAAAAUCGGACAUAUUUCUGGUACAGAGAUUUAUAAGAACACAGUAUGUGGUGCAGAUUAUCAGAUGACUUCCCUUUUUCUUUUCUCUGUUUAUUACAAAACAAUAAAAUCUCUUGUUAAUGUGUACACAGUCCUAAAUGACUGUUACUGUAAAUGGUUGUUCUUUUGUACUUCGUGUAUUCAAUACUCCAGUGCAUUUGCAUUUUAUUAAAGUUUCUUGAAUUAU
RNA transcript from Hippoglossus stenolepis (Pacific halibut), 2408 nucleotides. It is a transcript of the gene named zinc finger protein 567-like, with no coding region annotated. The transcript has 4 exons. The record is from RefSeq and is a predicted model, not a curated record. NCBI's taxonomy places the organism in Eukaryota, Metazoa, Chordata, Actinopteri, Pleuronectiformes, Pleuronectidae.